AGUACCCACGAACCAUCCAUGGACGGGGACGGGGGACCCAAGGUCCUCCGGGGAAGCAAGUCCCGAACGAGGGACGACCCCGCAGGCAUCGGGAGAGCGAUCUCCCUGGGGGUGAAGCCAGACCCGCUCCAUCCAAGAGCGGCGAGGCCGGGCGACCUCUCAGUCCGAACCCGACAGCUGACCUCGCAGGCGCGUGCGGAGAGGAAAC
RNAcentral lists this small RNA (208 nucleotides) under Rhodococcus (subgen. Prescottella) equi. RNAcentral describes it as "Rhodococcus equi c-di-AMP sequence". It matches the Rfam family "c-di-AMP riboswitch aptamer (ydaO/yuaA leader)". From Rfam's summary of the family: This family represents a conserved RNA structure found upstream of the ydaO and yuaA genes in Bacillus subtilis and related genes in other bacteria. The ydaO/yuaA element is thought to act as a genetic "off" switch for the ydaO and yuaA genes in its native state. Lineage: Bacteria; Bacillati; Actinomycetota; Actinomycetes; Mycobacteriales; Nocardiaceae. The record is from RNAcentral.